GGGUCAGUAGGUUGGUCGUGCCACCGGUACGUACUGGUCUCACUGAUUCCUCCUUCCUGAAGAACCGUAAUGCCAUUAAUUUGGUGUUGCGGGGAAGCAGGACUGUUACUUUGAAAAAAUUAGAGUGUUUAAAGCAAGCUAACGCUUGAAUACAUUAGCAUGGAAUAAUGAAAUAGGACGAUCAAUCCUAUUUUGUUGGUUUCUAGGAUUGACGUA
RNAcentral lists this ribosomal RNA (216 nucleotides) under Glomeromycotina sp. Its description in RNAcentral is "partial small subunit ribosomal RNA". The stretch from base 40 to 216 matches the Rfam family "Eukaryotic small subunit ribosomal RNA", at positions 686 to 864 of the family's 1831-position model. Lineage: Eukaryota; Fungi; Glomeromycota. The record is from RNAcentral.